CCGUAAGGCCUUGCGCAAUUAGAGCGGCCGAUACCUGAUUAGCUAGUUGGUGAGGUAAAGGCUCACCAAGGCAACGAUCAGUAGCUGGUUUGAGAGGGCGAUCAGCCACCCUGGGACUGAGACCCGGCCCCGACUCCUUCGGGAGGCAGCCGUGGGGAAUUUUGGACAAUGGGGGGAACCCUGAUCCAGCAAUGCCGCGUGAGUGAAGAAGGCCUUCGGGUUGUAAAGCUUUUUUGUCAGGGAAGAAACAGCAGCUUUAACACAGUUUGCGAAUGACGGUACCUGAAGAAUAAGCACCGGCUAACUACGUG
This 311-nucleotide ribosomal RNA is filed under the name uncultured bacterium. RNAcentral describes it as "bacterial SSU rRNA". It matches the Rfam family "Bacterial small subunit ribosomal RNA", at positions 199 to 507 of the family's 1533-position model. The record is from RNAcentral.